AGAAAGAAAGAAAGGGAUCGGGUGUUUUAACCAGAUCUGGAUCUGUCGUCAUUUUCGUAUUCAGUGCUUUGAUUGCUUUCUAAUCCAUUCAAUUCACUCUCACCUUUUCCUAGACGAUAACAAUAAAAACAAACUAGUAUUUUUCUCUCUCUUAUCUUUCUGUUUCCGCUUUCAAUUACCACAGUUCAGGUUUCAGACCUAUUAUUACUAUCCUGUCACAAUCUGGCGCUUAUUAUUUUUUUCUUUUAUGUGGAGCAGUGAUUAAUUUGUCGUUAUUUAUGCUAAUUCGAUCGCUGCAAGGUAAAGUUCAUUUUAACACAGUUCUGGUUCAGGAUUUCAAGAAUUAAGAGGAAUUUUGGUUUUCUUUUUUGGAGGAAAAUUGCUCUACUGCAUCUUAUUGGAUAUUUUAGGUACAUUUGUUCCUUAGUACUUUAAAUGAACGACUGCAAAUAAGGAGAAAUUAUAGAGAAUGAAUUUUAUUGGCCGCCUCAUUGUGUUUAUUGUUGAUUUACGACAUGGGAAAUUUUAUAGUGGUUUUUAAUUGGGGCGAAAAGGGGAGGAAAUACACCUAGGCGGUCAAUUUUUGUGGGUCUGGUGGGAGGAAUUGUUUUGUACAGGGCUUAGUUAUGCUAUUCUCCAAUGCUUUAUCUGCGGCUGUGGAUCCUCUAUGUCUUCCGGCAAACCAUUGUUGUCUACCUCUGAACCGUCGUCUGCAACAAGCCCUCACCAUCGCCGUCACUCAUCACUGACAAUCGGCUCACUGGGACGCCUGUGUCACAACACAUCGAUCUCUUCAUCUGUUACUGACGGUUCACAACAUAGCAAUUUGUCCGAUCAUAAUGAUGAAUUGGAGGACGAGUUGGAGGAAUUUGAUGAAGACAUUUCCCCAUUAGGAGGUGCUUUAAGGAAUUCUGUUGAAUGUCCUGCUUAUCUUCGAACCAGAAAGAAGUUCAAGCCAGUUGACCUUCAGUUGCAACUUCCCCUGCCUGAGAGAAAACUCCUUGUGUCAUGGGGUGGUGUGACGGAUCCACAGCAUGUUUGGUCUAUGCGUGAAGUUUCUGGGGCUUCAUCUCAAGCUGUUUCUUCUGGGAUUCAGGAUUAUUUGAACAAGUCCCAGAGGUCUGAGAGGUUCCUUCAGAUAAGCAUGCAGCUUAAAGAAAAUUUAACACAUCAUGAUAACCCUAGGUUGAUCCAUAUUAACGAUCCUAAGAGGACUAAUGAUAAUUUUGAGUAUUCUGGAAAUGAGAUCCGGACCAGUAAAUAUACCUUCCUUAAUUUUUUGCCUAAGAAUCUCUUCAUUCAGUUCCACCGGGUUGCUUAUUUGUAUUUUUUGGCUAUUGCUGCUCUGAACCAGCUUCCACCUCUUGCUGUCUUUGGGAGAACAGUAUCACUUGUCCCUCUUCUAUUUGUGCUUACUGUAACAGCUGUAAAAGAUGGUUAUGAGGACUGGCGAAGACACAGGUCCGACAGAAAUGAGAAUAACCGGGAAGCUCUGGUGCUUCAAUCUGGAGAAUUCCAUCCAAAAAGAUGGAAAAAGUUACAAUCUGGUGAGGUAGUGAAAAUCUGUUCUGAUGAGACAAUUCCUUGUGAUAUGGUGUUGCUGACCACAAGUGAUCCUAGUGGAAUUGCCUAUAUCCAGACAAUGAAUUUGGAUGGCGAGUCAAACUUGAAAACAAGGUAUGCAAGGCAAGAAACUAAUAAAUUAGUACUUGAUGGGACAAUAAUAUCUGGGGUUAUCACAUGUGAACAGCCAAACAGGAAUAUCUACGAGUUCACAGCCAACUUGGAGAUAAAAGGGCAGAGGUAUCCUCUCAGCCAGUCGAACAUUAUUUUGCGAGGUUGUCAGCUUAAGAACACAGAAUGGGCACUUGGCGUAGUAGUUUAUGCUGGGAAGGAUACAAAAGCUAUGCUGAACAGUGCAAUGUCACCUGCUAAACGAAGCAGAUUGGAAACCUACAUGAACCGGGAAACAUUUUGGUUGUCAGUUUUUCUUUUAAUCAUGUGCCUUGUUGUAGCAAUUGGGAUGGGCUUAUGGUUAAAUACCCACAAGAAUCAGCUUGACACAUUGCCUUAUUACCGGAAAAUAUAUUUUGACAAGAAGAAGUUUGGGGAAAAGUACAAAUAUUAUGGAAUUCCAAUGGAGACAUUUUUUUCUUUUUUGAGUUCUAUCAUUGUGUUUCAGAUAAUGAUUCCGAUCUCUCUUUAUAUCACUAUGGAGCUGGUUCGGUUGGGACAAUCAUAUUUCAUGAUUGGUGACAGGCAUAUGUAUGAUAGUAGCUCUGAUUCAAGGUUUCAGUGCAGAUCCUUGAAUAUUAAUGAGGAUUUGGGACAAAUACGCUAUGUAUUUUCUGAUAAGACGGGCACGCUAACAGAAAACAAGAUGGAAUUUAGAAAAGCUAGUGUUUGGGGAAAGCAAUAUGGUAGCACCCUCUCUGUUGAUGGAACAGGCGACACAAAUGUUGGAGCUGAAGCUGUCUUGGAGGGUAGAAGAACAUGGAAGCUCAAAUCUGAAAUUACCCCUGAUUCUGAACUCCUCAAAUUGUUGCACAAUGAUUUGUCUGGAGAUGAAAGGAUUGCUGCACAAGAAUUUUUUCUGACACUUGCUGCAUGUAAUACUGUGAUUCCUAUUGCCACCCAAUCUCCAUCUUCUAGUGACACUGACAGUACAUUGCGGGCCAGUUAUGGAAUCGUCGAUUAUCAGGGUGAAUCUCCUGAUGAACAGGCACUGGUUGCUGCAGCGUCUGCCUAUGGGUAUACACUUUAUGAGCGGACAUCUGGGCAUAUUGUAGUUGAUGUCAAUGGUGAGAAAUUAAGGUUGGUUGUUUUGGGUCUUCAUGAGUUUGAUAGCGUGCGUAAAAGAAUGUCUGUUGUUAUCAGAUUUCCAAAUGAUAGUGUAAAGGUAUUGGUGAAGGGGGCUGAUACAUCUAUGUUCAGCAUUUUAAAGAGAGACCAUCCUGAUGAUAAUCAUACAAAACAUGCUACACAGAGUCAUCUGAAUGAAUAUUCAUCUGAAGGUUUGCGUACCCUAGUUGUUGCUUCUAGGGACCUUACAGGUGAAGAACUUGUGGAAUGGCAAUCCACGUACGAAGAUGCAAGCACAUCCUUGACGGACAGAUCUAUAAAAUUGCGUCAAACAGCAGCUCUUAUAGAAUGUGACUUGACCCUACUUGGGGCCACUGCAAUCGAGGAUAAGUUACAAGAGGGUGUACCAGAAGCCAUUGAGUCCCUGCGGCAAGCUGGAAUAAAGGUGUGGGUUCUUACUGGAGAUAAGCAAGAGACAGCCAUUUCUAUUGGUCUUUCUUGCAAACUCUUGACUGCAGAUAUGGAACAGAUUAUUAUAAAUGGAACUUCGGAGAGUGAAUGCAGAAAAUUUCUUUGUGAUGCUAAGGCCAAAUAUUGUGUGAAAUCUGCAAAUAGCUGUGACCAGAUAUCAGUAUGGAGGCAGAAUACUGAAAGUGAUUACCUUGAGAUUCCUCUUGGCACAAAGUUAUCUAGCUUGCAACAGCAGCAUGCAGGACAGGAGGAAGGAGCUUCUUUUGGACCACUAGCACUUAUAAUUGAUGGGAAUAGUCUGGUUUACAUAUUAGAGAAAGAUCUGGAGUCUGAGCUAUUUGACCUCGCAACUUCGUGUAAGGUUGUGCUUUGUUGUCGUGUUGCACCCUUGCAAAAGGCUGGAAUUGUUGACCUGAUCAAAUGUCGGAGUGAUGAUAUGACACUAGCCAUUGGUGAUGGAGCUAAUGAUGUUUCCAUGAUCCAAAUGGCGGAUGUUGGUGUUGGAAUAUGUGGUCAAGAAGGGCGUCAAGCCGUAAUGGCUUCAGAUUUUGCAAUGGGACAAUUCAGAUUUUUGAAACGAUUGCUUUUGGUGCACGGACAUUGGAAUUAUCAGCGCAUCGGUUAUCUGGUUCUUUAUAACUUCUACCGUAAUGCUGUUUUCGUGUUAAUGCUUUUCUGGUACAUUCUGUAUACAGCUUUUUCAACGACUUCUGCACUGACAGACUGGAGCAGUGUUUUUUAUUCAGUUUUAUAUACAUCACUACCUACUAUUGUUGUUGGAAUUCUGGACAAGGACUUAAGUCACAAGACUUUGUUGAAGUAUCCAAAACUCUAUUCUGCUGGCUAUCGACAGGAGAGCUAUAAUAUGUCCCUCUUCUGGAUCACUAUGCUUGACAUGCUAUGGCAGAGCCUUGUUCUCUUCUAUGUACCCUUGUUCACCUAUAGAGAUAGCACGAUUGACAUAUGGAGUAUGGGUAGCUUGUGGACAAUUGCAGUUGUUAUCUUAGUUAAUAUGCAUUUGGCAAUGGAUAUUCAGCGCUGGGUUGUUAUUACUCACAUCUCAUUAUGGGGAUCAAUAAGUAUCACAUACAGUUGCAUGGUGGUGCUUGAUUCUAUACCCGUGUUUCCUAAUUAUGGUACAAUAUACCAUCUGGCAAAGUCGCCUGCUUAUUGGCUCUCCAUUUUGCUCAUAGUAGUUGUAGGAUUGCUUCCUCGUUUUAUUUUCAAAGUUCUGCAACAAAUUUUCUGGCCUUCAGAUAUCCAAAUUGCCAGAGAAGCAGAAAUAAUGAGUAAAAGACCGCGUUUUUUUGGUUCAAAGCCAGAUCGGAUUUCAAGCUAACAUAUCUGUUUCCAUGUCAUGUGAUGUAGCCGAUGCUUGUAGCUCUCUCUCAUCAUAGAUUGCUUACCUGACUUGUUGCCAACCUAUGCGAGUGCAGAAUCAAAAAAUACUUGGCUUGAUAGAAAAGAAAGAGGGGGGUCGACUCCUGGCUGUGUGGAUCAAAAGAGGUUAAAGAGAUAUAACCCAGUUGAGGAGAAAUAGUGACAUAAUGCCAGGAGGAGUGUGUGCUUCAAUAUUUUGCCUGGUAUGAUUGAAGAUCGUAUCGGCAUAAAUGCAAUUUCAGGCCAUUACUUUGAACUUGAAUCCUUAGUAAUUUUAGAUGUGCCACAGAGAGAGAGAGAGAGAGAGAGAGAGAGAGAGAGAGAGAGAGAGAGAGAGAGAGUAAACAAAUAAACAAAGUAUGUAACUGUUUUUUAUGAAAAGUAGGCGUUGAUUUUACUGAACAAUCGAAGAGUGGUUUAAGGUUUCAGUAGCGGGACGAAUGAAAUAAUUUUUAUUUUCUCGAAACAUGCCAGGUUAUUUCAUUUGCUCUUGUUGGUGUCAGCUGAGAAACUCCUUUGUCCCUUGUGAUUGUUUAGCCAUCACCGUUAGCAGAUUGAUAUGCCAAAUAUGUGCAUCAUACAAAAUAGAAUAUUAAUUUCAAUAUUUCUCUAA
Olea europaea var. sylvestris is the source of this 5266-nucleotide RNA transcript. It is a transcript of the gene named phospholipid-transporting ATPase 1-like, with no coding region annotated. NCBI's taxonomy places the organism in Eukaryota, Viridiplantae, Streptophyta, Magnoliopsida, Lamiales, Oleaceae. The transcript has 9 exons. The record is from RefSeq and is a predicted model, not a curated record.